UACUAUGUUACGACUUAUCCCAUAUUAAAAUUAAUGAGAGUGACGGGAGAUAUGUACAUAUUCCAGAGCUAAGAUCAAUUUAACAAUCUUCAUAAAUUUACAUUCAAAUCCACCUUCAAACUUAUUUUACAAUAAAUAAUCCGUCUAUAAAAAAAUAUUGUAAUCCAUCUCCACUCUAACCAUUCACUUUUGUUUCACUGCACCUUGAUCUGAAAAAUUUUUUAAUAAAAAAUUACAAAAAUUUAUCUCUAAAAAGAUUUUAAUAAACGACGGUAUACAUAUUAAAUAAGGUCAAGAAAGUUCCAACGCGGAUUAUCGAUAACGGGACAGAUUCCUCUAAAAAGACUGAAAUACCGCCAAAUUCUUUAAAUUUAAAGAUCAUAUCUAAUAAUAUUAAGGUCUUAAAAUAUUUACAUAAUCAAUAAUAGGGUAUCUAAUCCUAGUUU
This 446-nucleotide ribosomal RNA is filed under the name Nyctibora lutzi. RNAcentral describes it as "partial 12S ribosomal RNA". The record is from RNAcentral. Lineage: Eukaryota; Metazoa; Arthropoda; Insecta; Blattodea; Nyctiboridae.